GACAGCAGCAGCCGCGGUAAUACGUAGGGUGCAAGCGUUAAUCGGAAUUACUGGGCGUAAAGCGUGCGCAGGCGGUGUUGUAAGACUGAUGUGAAAUCCCCGGGCUCAACCUGGGAACUGCAUUGGUGACUGCAACGCUGGAGUAUGGCAGAGGGGGGUGGAAUUCCGCGUGUAGCAGUGAAAUGCGUAGAUAUUCGGAGGAACACCAGUGGCGAAGGCGGCUCACUGGUCCAUUACUGACGCUGAGGUGCGAAAGCGUGGGGAGCAAACAGGAUUAGAUACCCCCGUAGUCCCUGUCUCUUAUAC
Molecule: ribosomal RNA, 306 nt
Filed under: uncultured bacterium
Lineage: Bacteria
Description: partial 16S ribosomal RNA
Rfam family: Bacterial small subunit ribosomal RNA
Source: RNAcentral